AGUAUGACUGAGAAUACGUAGGAGCAAGGUCAAUCCUUGUCGGGCCCAAAAACCUAAAAAAUAUUUUUGUUUCUUUAUUUUAUUUUUCUUGGGAUAGUUAAAUAUUUUGCAAACCACAUUUUUAUUCGCGCAUUUAAUUAAAGGUACUGCCUUAGGGCAGGCGUUGUAGGGUGCUAACACCUUCCCUACACGUAACCGAUUUCCGAACCCAUCUCUGGUUUUCACAGAUCUUGUCUUAUCUUUUUAUGGUUUUUCCGUAGUUUUCCAGAAUAAACUAUG
RNAcentral lists this long non-coding RNA (279 nucleotides) under Vigna radiata. RNAcentral describes it as "long non-coding RNA (VRAD_LNC014212)". The record is from RNAcentral. Lineage: Eukaryota; Viridiplantae; Streptophyta; Magnoliopsida; Fabales; Fabaceae.